UUCUUUUCUGCCGAUUUGCUCCCAGUUUAUUUUCUUUUUUUUUUUCUGCAGAUUUGCUCCCAGUUUAUUUUCUUUUCUUUUCUGCAGAAUAAUUCUGGGUUUUUAUUCAUUUUCAGGAACGAAUACCCAUGGUGACUCUUGCCACUACUUUGGGAAGAGAGGGAAUCAGUGCUUUCCGCUUUGACUUUGCUGGGAACGGGGAAAGUGAAGGUUCCUUUAUGUAUGGUAACUACCGCAGAGAAGCCGAAGAUUUACGAGCUGUCAUCCGACAUUUCUGCAAGAACCAACGUCUAAUAACUGCAAUUCUUGGCCACAGUAAAGGUUUGGGGAAUGUGGUGCUUCUCUAUGCUUCAAAGUACAAUGAUGUACCCACCAUCAUCAAUAUUUCUGGUCGGUUCCAUUUGGAGAAAGGCAUGGAAGGUCGAUUGGGUAAAGAUUUUUUACAAAGAAUUAAGCAGAAUGGGUUUAUUGAUUUUAAGAAUAGAAAAGGACAGUUUGAAUAUCGUGUAACUCAAGAAAGUUUGAUGGACCGAUUAACCACCGACACUCGUGCAGCAUGUCUUUCGAUUGAUCAAAAUUGCAGGGUAUUAACCAUUCAUGGAUCCAUGGAUAAAAUUGUACCAGCCAAAGAUGCUCUGGAAUUUGCCAGUUUAUACGAAAUCACAAGUCGCACAUAAUUGAAGGAGUUGAUCAUGAGUAUCGCACACCGGGAUGAGUUAGCUACAGCUUGUGCUCGAUUUUGUAAAGGCGAUUCGUGA
Molecule: RNA transcript, 758 nt
Organism: Gossypium raimondii (Peruvian cotton)
Lineage: Eukaryota; Viridiplantae; Streptophyta; Magnoliopsida; Malvales; Malvaceae
Exons: 5
Source: RefSeq, a predicted model, not a curated record